GAGUCUUUGACGCAGUUGCGCCCGAGGCCACUCGGCCGAGGGCACGCCUGCCUGGGCGUCACGCCAAAACACGCUCCCAACCACUCUCAACGGGAAUCGGGAUGCGGCAUCUGGUCCCUCGUCUCUCAAGGGACGGUGGACCGAAGAUUGGGCUGCCGGCGUACCGCGCCGGACACAGCGCAUGGUGGGCGUCCUCGCUUUAUCAAUGCAGUGCAUCCGGCGCGCAGCUGGCAUUAUGGCCUUUGAACGACCCAACAAACGAAGCGCACGUCGCUUCGACCGCGACCCCAGGUCAGGCGGGACUACCCGCUGAGUUUAAGCAUAUAAAUAAGCGGAGGAGAAGAAACUUACAAGGAUUCCCCUAGUAACGGCGAGCGAACCGGGAGCAGCCCAGCUUGAGAAUCGGGCGGCUGUGCCGUCCGAAUUGU
This 428-nucleotide ribosomal RNA is filed under the name Triticum dicoccoides. Its description in RNAcentral is "eukaryotic LSU rRNA". The stretch from base 283 to 428 matches the Rfam family "Eukaryotic large subunit ribosomal RNA", at positions 1 to 146 of the family's 3401-position model. Lineage: Eukaryota; Viridiplantae; Streptophyta; Magnoliopsida; Poales; Poaceae. The record is from RNAcentral.